RNAcentral lists this ribosomal RNA (254 nucleotides) under uncultured bacterium. RNAcentral's name for it is "partial 16S ribosomal RNA". It matches the Rfam family "Bacterial small subunit ribosomal RNA", at positions 524 to 776 of the family's 1533-position model. The record is from RNAcentral.
UACGUAGGGGGCGAGCGUUGUCCGGAUUCAUUGGGCGUAAAGAGCUCGUAGGCGGUUCGGCAAGUCGGGUGUGAAAACUCCAGGCUCAACCUGGAGACGCCACCCGAUACUGCUGUGACUCGAGUCCGGUAGGGGACCACGGAAUUCCUGGUGUAGCGGUGAAAUGCGCAGAUAUCAGGAGGAACACCGAUGGCGAAGGCGGUGGUCUGGGCCGGAACUGACGCUGAGGAGCGAAAGCGUGGGGAGCGAACAGG